This 447-nucleotide ribosomal RNA is filed under the name uncultured bacterium. RNAcentral describes it as "SSU rRNA". It matches the Rfam family "Bacterial small subunit ribosomal RNA", at positions 26 to 518 of the family's 1533-position model. The record is from RNAcentral.
AGAGCGAACGCUGGCGGCAGGCCUAACACAUGCAAGUCGAGCGCCCGUAGCAAUACGGGAGCGGCAGACGGGAUAGUAACACGUGGGAACGCGCCCUUCGGUUCGGAAUAACUCAGGGAAACUUGAGCUAAUACCGGAUACGCCCUUACGGGGAAAGAUUUAUUGCCGAAGGAACGGCCCGCGUCCGAUUAGCUAGUUGGUGAGGUAAUGGCUCACCAAGGCGACGAUCGGUAGCUGGUCUGAGAGGAUGACCAGCAUCACUGGGACUGAGACACGGCCCAGACUCCUACGGGAGGCAGCAGUGGGGAAUAUUGGACAAUGGGCGCAAGCCUGAUCCAGCCAUGCCGCGUGGAUGAUGAAGGCCCUAGGGUUGUAAAGUCCUUUCGACGGGGAAGAUAAUGACGGUACCCGUAGAAGAGCCCCGGCUAACUUCGUGCCAGCAGCCGC